This 492-nucleotide ribosomal RNA is filed under the name uncultured bacterium. RNAcentral describes it as "partial 16S ribosomal RNA". It matches the Rfam family "Bacterial small subunit ribosomal RNA", at positions 29 to 507 of the family's 1533-position model. The record is from RNAcentral.
AGUGAACGCUGGCGGUAGGCCUAACACAUGCAAGUCGAACGGCAGCACAGUAAGAGCUUGCUCUUACGGGUGGCGAGUGGCGGACGGGUGAGGAAUACAUCGGAAUCUACUUUUUCGUGGGGGAUAACGUAGGGAAACUUACGCUAAUACCGCAUACGACCUACGGGUGAAAGCAGGGGAUCUUCGGACCUUGCGCGAUUGAAUGAGCCGAUGUCGGAUUAGCUAGUUGGCGGGGUAAAGGCCCACCAAGGCGACGAUCCGUAGCUGGUCUGAGAGGAUGAUCAGCCACACUGGAACUGAGACACGGUCCAGACUCCGACGGGAGGCAGCAGUGGGGAAGAGUGGACAAUGGGCGCAAGCCUGAUCCAGCCAUACCGCGUGGGUGAAGAAGGCCUUCGGGUUGUAAAGCCCUUUUGUUGGGAAAGAAAAGCAGCAGGUGAAUACCCCGCUGUUCUGACGGUACCCAAAGAAUAAGCACCGGCUAACUUCGUG